Molecule: ribosomal RNA, 400 nt
Filed under: uncultured bacterium
Lineage: Bacteria
Description: bacterial SSU rRNA
Rfam family: Bacterial small subunit ribosomal RNA
Source: RNAcentral
UGGGGAAUAUUGGACAAUGGGGGAAACCCUGAUCCAGCCAUGCCGCGUGAGUGAUGAAGGCCUUAGGGUUGUAAAGCUCUUUUACCAGGGACGAUGAUGACGGUACCUGGAGAAUAAGCACCGGCUAACUUCGUGCCAGCAGCCGCGGUAAUACGAAGGGUGCUAGCGUUGUUCGGAAUUACUGGGCGUAAAGCGCGCGUAGGUGGCUACUCAAGUCAGAGGUGAAAUGCCGGGGCUUAACCCUGGAACUGCCUUUGAAACUAGGUGGCUAGAGUACUGGAGGGGUUGGCGGAAUUCCUAAUGUAGCGGUGAAAUGCGUAGAUAUUAGGAGGAACACCGGUGGCGAAGGCGGCCAACUGGACAGUAACUGACACUGAGGCGCGAAAGCGUGGGGAUCAAA